RNAcentral lists this ribosomal RNA (493 nucleotides) under Termitomyces titanicus. Its description in RNAcentral is "eukaryotic LSU rRNA". It matches the Rfam family "Eukaryotic large subunit ribosomal RNA", at positions 72 to 569 of the family's 3401-position model. The record is from RNAcentral. Lineage: Eukaryota; Fungi; Basidiomycota; Agaricomycetes; Agaricales; Lyophyllaceae.
GGAUUCCCCUAGUAACUGCGAGUGAAGCGGGAAAAGCUCAAAUUUAAAAUCUGGUAGUCUUUGGCUGCCCGAGUUGUAAUCUAGAGAAGCAUUAUCCGCGUUGGACCGUGUACAAGUGUCCUGGAAUGGACUAUCAUAGAGGGUGAGAAUCCCGUCUUUGACACGGACUCCCAGGGCUUUGUGAUGUGCUCUCAAAGAGUCGAGUUGUUUGGGAAUGCAGCUCUAAAUGGGUGGUAAAUUCCAUCUAAAGCUAAAUAUUGGCGAGAGACCGAUAGCGAACAAGUACCGUGAGGGAAAGAUGAAAAGAACUUUGGAAAGAGAGUUAAACAGUACGUGAAAUUGCUGAAAGGGAAACGCUUGAAGUCAGUCGCGUUGGCUGGGGAUCAACCUUUGGCUUGGUUUACUUCCCAGUUGACGGGUCAGCAUCAGUUUUGACCAGUGGACAAAGGUCAAGGGAAUGUGGCACCUAAGGGUGUGUUAUAGCCCUUGGUCA